AGAAUCAACGCUGGCGGCGUGCCUAACACAUGCAAGUCGAACGAGAAAGUGGAGCAAUCCAUGAGUAAAGUGGCGCACGGGUGAGUAACACGUGACUAACCUACCCUUGAGUGGGGGAUAACCUAGGGAAACCUGGGCUAAUACCGCAUAAUACCUUCGGGUCAAAGGAGCAAUUCGCUUAAGCGAGGGGCCGCGGUCGAUUAGUUAGUUGGCGGGGUAAUGGCCCACCAAGACGAUGAUCGGUA
This 245-nucleotide ribosomal RNA is filed under the name uncultured bacterium. Its description in RNAcentral is "partial small subunit ribosomal RNA". It matches the Rfam family "Bacterial small subunit ribosomal RNA", at positions 26 to 285 of the family's 1533-position model. The record is from RNAcentral.